AAACGAGACCAUAGCGCUUUGGACCCACCUGACUCCAUGCCGAACUCAGUAGUGAAACGAAGCAGCGCCGAUGGUAGUGUGGGGUCUCCCCAUGUGAGAGUAGGACAUCGCCAGGC
RNAcentral lists this ribosomal RNA (116 nucleotides) under Salinivibrio kushneri. Lineage: Bacteria; Pseudomonadati; Pseudomonadota; Gammaproteobacteria; Vibrionales; Vibrionaceae. The record is from RNAcentral.